UACAGGGGGUGCAAACGUUGCUCGGAAUUAUUGGGCGUAAAGCGCGCGUAGGCGGCUACUUAAGUCGGAUGUGAAAGCCCUUGGCUCAACUGAGGAAGUGCACCCGAAACUGAGUGGCUUGAGUACUAAAGAGGGUCGCGGAAUUCCCGGUGUAGAGGUGAAAUUCGUAGAUAUCGGGAGGAACACCGGUGGCGAAGGCGGCGACCUGGGUAGAUACUGACGCUGAGGCGCUAAAGCGUGGGGAGCAAACCGG
Molecule: ribosomal RNA, 253 nt
Filed under: uncultured bacterium
Lineage: Bacteria
Description: partial 16S ribosomal RNA
Rfam family: Bacterial small subunit ribosomal RNA
Source: RNAcentral